This is a long non-coding RNA of Brienomyrus brachyistius, 5647 nucleotides long. RefSeq lists it as uncharacterized. The record is from RefSeq and is a predicted model, not a curated record. NCBI's taxonomy places the organism in Eukaryota, Metazoa, Chordata, Actinopteri, Osteoglossiformes, Mormyridae. The transcript is spliced from 3 exons.
CCAGGCAGUGCUGCCAUUCCGCAUUCCAGCAGAUCAACACCGUGGGGUUCGCUUUCACUCCUUAUCCAUUCUGUUAUUACCUACCUUCUUGCACCAUCAGCCAUUAUUUUAUCUAUCGCUGGACUAUGCUGAUCUCCCUCCAUUUCUCUGUCUUCAAGAACUACUUACAACUACUUACAGGCUACAGACAGAUAGGGAUGCGCUUUGAUUCAGAGAAAACCAGAGCGUGCGAAUCAAACCCCGAUGCUAAGCACAACACCAUGUGAUGCUGCAGCAGCACCCAACUCCUUUUAUCCUUUGUAUGACCAAAACUUUCAAUCUACUGAGAAAAUUUUAUUAAUUUAAAAUACCCUUUUAGUGAUGUAAUGCGUCAGAUAGAAGGCUUUAUAGCUAGCAGUUCUAUAAUGGAGAACUUCACCAUUUCCCUAGACAAACUAUUGGUAUAUCACUACCCAUACAAAGAGCACAUAUUGUAUUUCAGAGCAUACCUCAUUGUGGACUAUUAAACCACUUCCCUACGCAAACCAUCUGUAACUCUAUUGGCACAUCACUCCCCAUGUAAAGGGCUCCCAUUGUUCUUCAUAGUACUGUAUACCUCAUUGUCAAUACUAAAUGUUUAAGAGGUAGAGCUGUCAAUCACUUUAGUGAUUAUAUUGCAGCUUGAUGAUAAGUGACUGAUCAUUUAUGCGGCUGAUCAUCUGUGUGACUGAUCAUUUGUGCUUAUGCUUGUGUUUUCUGCGUCUGAUUUUUGUGGCUGUCCGCCCAAUCUAAUACUGUAAUACUGCAGUGGCCCCCGCAGUGGCCCCUGUCUGACCUACAAAUAGAGGACUGAUGCUCUUCCAUUUCACAUUCUUGCCAAUGGCCUGGCAGUGACCAGGUAAGUGUGAAGUCAUCAUUCACGUCAUUUGAGUCAUUCCUUACAGUGCAGUUAACCAAUUCUUCCUGAUUCACAACACGUUCAGCCUCUAACUGCUCUAAGACUGUAAUCUAGUCUCAUCCCUCCUACCAUUAAAUUGCCAUAUGACUUAAUCCAUCUGAGGCCAUACUGAAAUGAAGUGUGUCGAGAUUUUAAAAACAUGUGUAUGUUGCUCCUCUCAACCAAAAUAUUGAUACACUGUUGGACCACUGGUGAACCUGUCCUGGUGUCAGCAAGAUCAAUGUUAUAUCCAAUGUGAUCCGUGCCAUUUUCGGCAGCAGAUACUUAACACAGACAAACGCUGCAAGCAAACCCCAUCCGAGCAGCAGCUAAGCAUCACUGCAUACGACUAGAAACUGUCUCUGGUUCUUUUUCUCCUUUAAAACCUAAACCCAAGCCCUGCUUAUGACUAGCUGAGUAAUCUGUCUAAAUAUAGCCCCCUGUGCUUAGGCCUCAGUUAUGGCUAAGCCUCAGCUGUCAAUCGCCAUGGCAGUGCAAAAUUACUAUGAUGUGACUCUGUGCUCAUGCUAUGUUUCCCAUUGGCUUAUACACUAUCCCAUGGUGAAAGGGUACUGACUUUUCUGCAUAGGUCUGCUACAGUUAAUCUCAUCAUAUUUAGAAAAAUGAUGUAAAUGUCUUUAUGCAUUCCUGUGUUCCUACUUUGCAUUGUCCGUAAUACUUAACUGUGUUCAAGAUAAUUUCACCAUCUCUCCAUCUUGCAUAAGGGCACAGCCAGUACAGGGUAGUAGUGAGACUGGGCCCUAUCCCAGAAAGACAUGGGACCAAUGCAGAAGACAUCUUGCACUGGAGAUCACAUAAUCGCAUCCUAAGGGUAAUUAGGCUAACUAAUCUGCAGAGGAAACCGCUGACAAUAGAGAGAAAACCUGUAAAUUCCAAAUUCCACGGUCAGGGACAGAACUUGAAUCCCACCAGGCCACAGGUGUUCAAGGUAAGUCAUAUACAGUGCCUAGGUGCAAAUAGUUGGCUACAGUUAUAUCAUAUAUUAAUCCAGUGUUCUUUUCAGAGGUGCACGCUUUACACCGUUAAUUAAUCUUUAGUCUUUCUACUAGAAGCAUCAUGAAUCAUUUUUAACUGGGAAGAGGCAGAUGCUGCGUCAGGUGUACAUAACUCUUCUCAGGACUGUCAUCUUGAUGCACCUCCAUGGUGCUGUAAUAUGUUCCAUUGCUCAGGGAAGAAGAAGCCGGGGGUCAGAGGUCUCAGAUGUUCUUGAAUCCCCGUGUGGUGUUCAGAAUGGUCUUUUUGUGCAUGUAUGUGUGACCUGUCCAUUCACAAGCAGAAACGGUGAGACCUAGAAGAUGGAGGUCCUGUCCCACUACCUUCGCCUGAAAGAACCCUCUAUCCCUUUCUGCCACUUGUUGACAUAUAGUCACCUCUGCUGACGUAAAUAGUUUCUAGCCUAUCUGUGUGCGUGUGUGUGUGUCUGUGUGUGUGUGUGUGUGCAUGUUUGCGUGUGUCUCUAUGUGUGGUUCUGUCAGCUCAGGUCACGGUGAUGGCGUGAGCCCUAGAGGGCUGCAGGCCUGCAGGGUGGACUUAUGCUCAUCAGCAGCAUUAGGCCAUGCUGAGGUGAUGUUUGACCCCCUGGGAGAAGAGGGACCUUGCCUGGACCAUCACCAGGUCAGAAGAAGAUCACAAGUACCACCCACAUUAUAUCAAUCACUUCUGAAAUUGGGGGGCCUUCUUUUAUGCUUAUAGUACGUGUCACUUUGGGCCUAUUAAGUCUUCUCACAAUAGAGUAACCCCCCUGAAAUGGAGGGGUGAGCGAAGAACAAAGAAUCUUUCUGUUAUUUUUUCCCCUCCACAAUGCACCUGUGCAAGGAGCUUAAUUAUAUCCCAGAACAGGGGUAUUAUGGUAAAACCACAGGGGUAUUAUGGUAAAACCACAGGGGUGAGAUGCAGCAACAAUGAGCAUCAACGGAACCAUGAUUCUGGCAACUUGGGAAUGUAACGUGACAAAGGGCGCCCUUCACACAAGGGCUGGUGUGGUGGAAGGGCUGACAGGCUCCUCCCUCUAGAGGUUAACCUUCCGGUUAAGAUCACAUGGUAAAACUAGGGCAUGGGGAAGACCGAGAUGAAGACCAGAUGAAGGGAGGGAUGUACAGACCAACAGGGAGAGUUAGGGACGGCAACUGCACAAUAAACAAAAAGACAAAGAGAACAGAAAAGACCUACAAAGCUUUCUACUUAGCAAGAAUAGCACAAUGACAAUAAGGAGGAAACUCUAGAUGACUGCAUAUUCAUCCAAAAACUGGAAGGCUGUAGACGUUACACCAACAAGGUUUUGAGCUGUCCACGUAAGCGACUCAGUUGGUCAUAUCUAUAAAUGUUCAUUUGGGCCAGGUGGCUCUUUGGACUCCUCGAGCUACACAGAAGUAUUUCUAUUUGAUUCUAAUGAAUGUAUUUACGCAAGUUGUAUGCAUCGUACUCAGGGAACCAUCAAGAGAAGGUGUCUAUGGCAUUGACCAGAGGUUCAGGUCCAAAAAGUAAAAAUCAAGAUCAAGAUUUUGUUUAAACCAACCAGCUGAGUAUUUUAUGACUGAGACUAUUGAUACUGAACUGGUUGAUUGAAACUAAAUCUUGUUCUGGAUUUUCACUUCCUGGCCACGAACCAUCUACCUCUGGGAUUAACCUUUGUCUGCCCCAUUUAUAGAGAAGCUCUGUAGCAGACCUUGAUGACUCCCAUUUUUCCUAUUAUUACCCAUCCUUGGCCACCUCUCUUGUUUUACUAAUUAAAAGUAACAUCCACCCCCUAACAUUGACUUGUUACGUCAGAUGGAAUCAACUUUGUGUCAGGGGGCCUGAGGCUUGUUGGCUCUAACGAGCCUAAGAUUCUAAUUAGACACCAAAAAGGGAGGACGUGGUGGAAAGAGCCCCACUGUGAUUUUUGUCGCCUUGAGGCUGACGAUAUUUAUAUACCGUUCAUCCUAAACAUUGUGGAGGUGAGACAAGCAUGUCUCUGGUCCCAGGCUAGUCUGUUCUUCUCAUCACAGUCAAAAUCAGCCUGGGAUUGUGAUGUCACUCACUGGUGUGCUUAAACCAGAAUCAGUCUUGCAAUGGAAACACUGCAUUUUCUUCAUUUUGGGUUGUGUAUGGGCAUGCAUGCUUUUACUGAUAAUAAAGUUGUCGCAUAAAUUUCUUGAGCUUGAAUUAAUAUUUGUGUUGCUAGAAAAUGGUGAUACCUUCCUACAUUUGAUUAUCCUGGCUAAGUCUAAAUAACUUAAAUUAGACUGAGAGAAUCCAUUAUCCAUCCAUCCAUCUUCUGUAGAUGUUUGUCCUAUUCAGGGUGCUGGGGAGUCUGGAGCCUAUCCUGGAGACUACGGGCGCAAGGCAGGGAACCACCCAGAUGGGAACAUGGAGAGAAUCCAUUAACAACAACAACAAUAAUAAUAAUAAUAAUAAUAAUAAUAAUAAUAAUAAUAAUAAUAGCUAACACUUUAUUGAUCCCAUUGGAGAAAUUCUCUUUAAGCUUCCCCCAACUUGCUCUUUGUAGAGUGGCCUGGCUGUGAAGAGGUGCCACCUGUUGCGGUGCCCAGGGGGGUGGGUCAAGGGUCUUUCUCAAGGACCUGCAGACGUGUCGAAGCCGGGUUUGAACCAGCGGCCCUCCGAUCCCAGGCACACAAGCUUGGCCCACUGAGCUCUGUAGCUUCUGAAAAUACAUGCACUUCUCCGUGAAUGAGCAGUCUCGUAUGAAGAGCUUUUUAUGUUUUUUGGAGGAUCGCAUACCUUUGCAGAACUUGUGUUAAAGCUGGAAAACCAGACACAAACAGACCUUCAGCCAUCCGACAAAAGAGCUCUGCACUUUGUACUUUAAUUUGUCAUUGUCUUUUGCAGUUGUUCCCCUGUGAGCUGCACUUGUCAUUUAUGUGAAUCAUCCCUGAAAAGGCUGUUCUGACAAAAACUGCCACAGUGCCUCAACCAGACAAUAGAUGGGGGUGGGGGACGUCAAACACAUCAGGAUAUCGAUUGUGAUGAUAUCCAAGCGGGCAUGGGACAGCAAGGGCUGGCACCUCGCGGUUUGUUGGAAGUGACAUGGCACCGACUUGGGCCACAUCAUAGCAGACAGAGAGCUGAAGCGUGAGAAGAGAUGGCCGACUCAUGAGGGACUUGUGUCAGUAACGCAUUCGAUGACAUAAGUGGUGUCACUGAAGCUUUGUGUUAGCAGGAGAUCGGCAAUCCUCAGGAGGUGAGCGGCAAUCCUCAGGAGGUGAGCGGCAAUCCUCAGGAGGUGAGCGGCAAUCCUCAGGAGGUGAGCGGUAAUCCUCAGGAGGUGAGCGGCAAUCCUCAGGAGGUGAGCGGCAAUCCUCAGGAGGUGAGCGGCAAUCCUCAGGAGGUGAGCGGCAAUCCUCAGGAGGUGAGCGGCAAUCCUCAGGAGGUGAGCGGCAAUCCUCCUGUCUGAUCUCAGCAGACAUUCAGACUUUCUCCUGCUGGUGUCUUCCAACUUGCUCAGACAUGAGGCAGCGAUGAUAGCAAGCAGACCAGUGAACUCCGCCUUAGUAGGAAGGUAGGAGAGCCGCUUGAGCAGAACAACAGCUCAGCACCGGUGGCCUGACCUUCUCAGGACCCUCUCCAUCCCCUGCACCGUUCACUUUUGGAACUAAAUUACAUUUACAUGUAGGUGAUGCAAACUGUUGCGAAUUUGUGCAAACAAAAGACAGCAUGAAGACAUAAGAUAAAACCAAGAAAUUUCACAGAAUAAAACAAAGCACGUUCUAU